GCACUGGAUCGACCUGCCCUUGAGGUAGGAGC
RNAcentral lists this small RNA (32 nucleotides) under Bombyx mori (domestic silkworm). Its description in RNAcentral is "ovarian small RNA-16437". The record is from RNAcentral. Lineage: Eukaryota; Metazoa; Arthropoda; Insecta; Lepidoptera; Bombycidae.